GGUUACCGACUGCAACAUCUGUCAUAUCAUUAAUCUCCAAGGUUAUUUUAUCUGAUCUGGUUUGGUAGGCAUGUGUCAUCUUCCUUCUUCAAUAUUCCACAUGUGUCCUUCCUGAAGCCGUGUGCUAAGUCAAAUAGGACCACUUUCCCCUAUAGAGGGGAAGAAUAAUCCACCAUGGAUAAAAGAAAACAGCAAUAGUGUAGAAGCUUAAAGUUCGAAAUGUAAUAGGGAACUUGAUUUCUGAAAUGAAGUUGC
RNAcentral lists this small nuclear RNA (255 nucleotides) under Nannospalax galili (Upper Galilee mountains blind mole rat). RNAcentral's name for it is "7SK RNA (ENSNGAG00000007914.1)". It matches the Rfam family "7SK RNA", at positions 10 to 284 of the family's 331-position model. From Rfam's summary of the family: 7SK was discovered as an abundant small nuclear RNA in the mid-70s but a possible function has only recently been suggested. The record is from RNAcentral. Lineage: Eukaryota; Metazoa; Chordata; Mammalia; Rodentia; Spalacidae.